UCCCUUUCUCUCCACGGGGAGGAGGGAACCAGAGACAAAAAGAAAGAGAGAGAUUUGUGUCUUUUCAGCAGGAUGAAUGGAUAGAGAAAGCCAGAAUCGGACUGUAACGCAGAGUCUGGGCUCUGCUUUCUUAGGAACCAGAGCGGGGUCAGCUCUCUGGGGUGAAGGAUUCCUGCUGGAAUCUUCCAGACUCAGGAAGUGCUGGCUGCUGCCACCUUUGGUCUUACAACUGCAAUUCUAGGGCCCCCGAGAUUCACGGCUCUCCCCUGCAAGUCUCGUGUUUAUGAAUUGCGUCCUCAUUCGCCGGGGAAGGCCCUGCAGACUCCAGCCUGCUCGAAGGAAAUGCCAGAAACCCUGCUAAUUCCCCGGGCUCCCACCCUCCUCAGAGCCGGAGCCGCAGGAUGACAGAGCUGGCCUGGCUUUUCUUUAUCCCUCCCAAAUGAGAGCUCAUUUUUAAAAAGAAACUCAGCAAAAGGAUCUGGGGGGCGUGGGGGCGGGCAAUGAAGCCACUUCCAUCUGUCUUCCUGGCGUGUGGGAUGCAGAGGAGAGAUUUUGGAGAUGCAUGGAUCUGGGUUCGAAUCUGGCUCUGCUGCUCACCAGCUCUGUCCUGUGGGCCCGUCACCUGUCUGCGGAAAGUCUCCUUCCUCCAUUUCCUUCCUCUGUCCUGGAUCUUUGUGAGAAACGCCUCCUGACGGCAAAUGAGAGCUACCUGCAGACCCAGAAGCUUUCCCAGCUACCCGGUCCUUCUUCCUUCCCGACACGGGCCAAACAGCAUCUUCUCCUGCCAUGAGAAAUCAGGAGAGCGUGACCUCAUGGAAACCCAGUCAUCAGCAGGAGGAGAGACCGGCAGCAUUGGACGAGGGAGGCCGUCACAGAAUCAGGACCAGAGCUUGCUGGCCUUGGCGUUGGGAAGGUUUAUUGGUGGCCUCCUGUCUAAUUGA
This 941-nucleotide long non-coding RNA is filed under the name Sus scrofa (pig). RNAcentral's name for it is "lncRNA (ENSSSCG00070019357.1)". The record is from RNAcentral. Lineage: Eukaryota; Metazoa; Chordata; Mammalia; Artiodactyla; Suidae.